This 794-nucleotide long non-coding RNA is filed under the name Homo sapiens (human). RNAcentral's name for it is "HSALNT0392594". Lineage: Eukaryota; Metazoa; Chordata; Mammalia; Primates; Hominidae. The record is from RNAcentral.
AUGGUUACGCAAAAGCUGGUUUAAAAUGGCUCCUAUGUUGGCAUCUGGGCUGGGGCCUAACUACCCGUCUCCACCAUUUUCUCUACUGCCUACCCCUUCCUCUCCUCCAGGAAGACGGUAAGCUCCCGGCAUGGCUUCUGGGUGUAGUCACUGUGCCAAGCUUAAGGCUGGGCCAGUCCCACGAACUGCUCCUGCCUCCACCGGCUCACUCUACCAAGUCUGGACUUGCCACAUAUAUGCUGCUGCCUGGGCUCCCUUCAGCUUCUCGCCGGCAUCUCACUGGCUGUCAUUGCCUUUCCUUGCUUGGAGAGUUCCCUGGCAUCAAUCUCCUAUCUUCAACUUCACCUGCUCUUAUUGUCUUCCCUUUCUGAAUCUGCACGCCUCUGUCAUUUUCCAUGGAUCAAGGAGGUUAAAUUGACAAAUAACUGUUUUUGAAAGAAGAAAGGGAAAAAGGAACAACAAACUUCGCUUGGAUGUUUGGAAGUCUGCCUUCACAGAUCGCCAGGCUUUGCUGACUUAUUUAUAAAAGACUAUUUUUAUUUUGGUAUCAUCAAAGAGCUUAUUCAUGUCAAGGUUUUUAAGGUGAUAAACUGCAAAGAUGGAGGAUUAUCUACUGUGAAAGAGAGGGUUUUUUUUUUUUUUUUUUCUGGCAUGAGGAAAAGAACAUCACUGCUAGGAAAUGGUCUGGGCCUAACACCAGAUUACUCCUUUUAUGAAUUUGCAAAUCGGUAGAACUGGUCAGUCAUUGGAAAGGGGAGAUAACUCAGAGAGUAUCAAGCAUACCUGAGAAAAAC